CAGAACGAACGUUAGCGGCGCGCCUAAGACAUGCAAGUCGAGCGAGAAAGGGCUUCGGCCCCAGUACAGCGGCGCACGGGUGAGUAACACGUAGGUCAUCAACCCUCGAGUGGUGGACAACCCUCCGAAAGGAGAGCUAAUACAGCAUAACGCCAGCAAUGGCCAAAGCGGGCCUCUCCAUGGAAGCUCGCGCUUGAGGAUGAGCCUGCGGCCCAUCAGCUAGUUGGUUGGGGUAACGGCCCACCAAGGCUAAGACGGGUAGCUGGUCUGAGAGGAUGAACAGCCACACUGGAACUGAGACACGGUCCAGACUCCUACGGGAGCAGCAGUCGGAAUC
Molecule: ribosomal RNA, 337 nt
Filed under: uncultured soil bacterium
Lineage: Bacteria
Description: bacterial SSU rRNA
Rfam family: Bacterial small subunit ribosomal RNA
Source: RNAcentral